AUGAGUGGACGGUGCCAAAAAUUUCUGGACAUUUUCCUCUCUUCCCCAUCGAUCCUCCUAUUUCUUCCACUCUGUCAUCUCCGGUCACCUCUUCCCAUCCUAGUUCAAUGCAUCCAGCCUGUCGUGGCACCGUCUCCCCUUUGCUCUUCCUCCACCACGGCCGUAACUCUACGGCGGCCAAGAUCCGCAGCCUCAUCUCCUCACUGACGGUGACCAAAUCCGCAGCCUCGCCUCAUCUCCUCUCUGGCGGUGGUCGGGGCUGUUGGAGAAGCCCCCGUGACCCUCUAUGGUCAGCCGACGGAGGAGAUAAGACGCGAGCACGUUCCUCACCUCCCAUGCUCCAUCGCUCCUUUGUCUCUUCCACCUCAUACCCGACCUCCAGCGGCACACGCUCUCCUACCCUGCCAUAGCAAGGCGGGCCUCAUCUGAGCUGCUAAAAUGGAGGCCAAGCUGCUGCUCCGCUUCUCCUCCCCGCCCAACAACGUGAUCCAGUGAAGCACCACCACUGGCUCAUCGUCCUUGCUCGAUUCUAGCCGAUUCAAUUCGACGCGGUUUUGAGUAGAUUGAUGUGAUUCAUUUCGGUUAUGCGAUUGAUCUGGUUGUAGGAGCCAGCGGGAACGACAGGUGACAUGGCAGCGGCGCCAGCAGCGGCGGCCCCGCAACUCUACCUCUCACGGUCACACACAGAGGCAUACCCUACAUGGGGAAGAAUCACGUCUCUUCAAAUCACAACGAUACUUUGGAGUUGUGGAAGGAACUGAAAGACCCCAGUGACACAAAAGUAACUUUGAAAGGAUUGCUAGCCAAAAUGAAAGGCGACAACACACCUAAUUUUGUCAGGCCAUUUGUCUUGUACACCAUAGGCAAAUAUGUAUGCCCGACAACAUAGCAGUAUGUGGACAACAGAUACCUUUGGAUUGUUAGAAACGUUGAGACAAUAAAGAGCACCAAUUUUAGACAGCUUACACUUGACCAUCUUAUGGCUAGCGUCAGGAAAUUUGUAAAUGGUGGAGCAAGUCUGGAGGGCAACCUACCACUGCUGCAGACAUGGUACUACGAGAAGUGGAGGGUGCACCAAUUGGACUCUACCAUCUCGUAUGCAUCAAGGUUAAGGCCGCUGAUCCAAAACUGGAGUGACGAGAAGGCACAGAAGGUUGACAACAUAAUCAACAAAAA
Triticum aestivum (bread wheat) is the source of this 1176-nucleotide long non-coding RNA. RefSeq lists it as uncharacterized. The transcript has 3 exons. The record is from RefSeq and is a predicted model, not a curated record. NCBI's taxonomy places the organism in Eukaryota, Viridiplantae, Streptophyta, Magnoliopsida, Poales, Poaceae.